GAGAGAACAUUACAAGUUGGAACAUAGAAUUGAUGUCUAUCUAAACGUAUUUCCAAAUCAUAUAGGUUGAGCGAAAUCAUUGGCUCUGAUUUCCCUCUUAUUACAAACAAAACGACGAAACAAAUUGCAUUACAACUUACAAGCAUGACCACUUAAUUUGAGAAAAAGAGAACAAACUUAAAUAGGACAUAGGAUCAUCGCCAUACUGAUUUUUUCUUUUCAAGAACUCUUGAGUUCGACACAUUAAAAGCCUAAAUUAAAGCAAAAUCAGCAAAAGGCGUUGCAAUUUAAAAGCCAAAUAGAUUAUAGAAGAAAUUUUCAUGGAAUGUGGGUAGUAGGUGCUGCAGCAGCCAGCUUGGCUCUCAGAUCUUUUCUCAAAAUCUUUCCUGAAGGAGACUUGGGAAUUGCAUGAACAAAGUGCACCUUAUGCAAUCUCUUGUAGUAAACCACCUGUUUUGGUAAGCACAACAACAAAGGGAUUUUAUUGCUUAAGCCUUGGUACUUUGGUUUCAGAAUGUAAUUAGGAUGUUAUCUUCGUAUAUACCUGUCUAGCAAUGAAUUCCUUGACAGCUUCUUCAGUGAGUUCAAAACCGUUUGAUCGAACGACAAAUGCAACCGGAACUUCACCAGCAACUUCAUCUUUUUGCCUGUUAAAUGUUGCAGUAUGUGUAAGGUUGUACGUUCAAUAUUUUUCAAAGUUUUUCAUAUAUUUAGGGGAUUUUUAGAAGGUUUUAUUCUAGUACUUAAUCUCCAAAUAUGCCUCACACAAAUAUCCAAAGUGAAUACUUAAAAGAAAAAAAAAAGAACUGGGUAUAUGUAAGCCAUGAAUUGAACAUGUUGGAAAGUACAUACGGAACUACAGCUGCAUCUGCUAUUGAUGGAUGGCUUAUAAGGAGGGACUCAAGCUCAGCUGGUGGCACCUAAAUACAACAGAAACAAUGAGAAAAAUGCAAUUUGUAAAGGUUGCUUUAACCAAGAAACGAUGAAGGGAGAAAUUAACGUACUUGAAAGCCUUUGAAUUUGAUGAUUUCCUUUACUCUAUCAACAAUGAAAAUCUCAUCAUCUUCAUCCACGUAACCUAUAUCACCUGUAUGAAGCCAACCUUCCACAUCUAUGGUAGCUGCUGUGGCGACACUAUCGUUCAAGUAACCUUUCAUGAUUUGAGAUCCACGAAUGCAAAUCUCGCCAGGUUGAUUGUAACCAAGGGAGCAGCCAGUUUCAGGGUCAAUGACCUUAAGCUCUGCAUUCCUAACCACUGUCCCACAUGAACCUGACUUUGUAGGAAAGGGCUGCUUCGCAAAUCCCAGGCACAUUGAUAGAACUGGUCCUGCCUCUGUCAUUCCAUAUCC
RNAcentral lists this long non-coding RNA (1349 nucleotides) under Gossypium barbadense (sea-island cotton). Its description in RNAcentral is "long non-coding RNA (GBAR_LNC001754)". Lineage: Eukaryota; Viridiplantae; Streptophyta; Magnoliopsida; Malvales; Malvaceae. The record is from RNAcentral.